UGAAGUAUUAUAACAGUGCUCGCUUUAGCAUUAUUGGAAUGAUACAGAGAAGAUUAGCAUGGCCCCUGUGCAAGGAUGACAUGCAAAUUCGUGAAGCGGUCCAUAUUUUU
Molecule: non-coding RNA, 110 nt
Organism: Loxodonta africana (African savanna elephant)
Lineage: Eukaryota; Metazoa; Chordata; Mammalia; Proboscidea; Elephantidae
Source: Rfam